Molecule: unclassified non-coding RNA, 328 nt
Filed under: uncultured Spizellomycetales
Lineage: Eukaryota; Fungi; Chytridiomycota; Chytridiomycetes; Spizellomycetales
Description: sequence contains 5.8S rRNA gene, ITS2, 28S rRNA gene
Source: RNAcentral
AACGCACAUUGCGCUCCCUGGUAUUCCGGGGAGCAUGCCCGUUUCAGAAUCAUUUUAAUAUCUCACCAAGUUAUGGGCGCAAGCUCAUAAUCAGGUGGAAUUUGGAUGUUUUGUCUCUGUACAAUCAUCUUAAAAUGAUCGUAUGUGCUUGAGUGUGCUCUGGCAGUUGGGUACCAACGUGCAACAGAUUUUAUCUUUUCGCUUUGGUAUUUAAUUGAAAUCAGGUACCUGAAGCAUAUAUUUGCUGGCUUACAGAUGUUAUGCAUAAUGCAUGUAUAGCUUCUGAUAACUUGGUCUGAAAUCGGGCAAGAAAACCCGCUGAACUUAA